CAGUAGCCACGGGAAUACAGAGGGUGCGAGCGUUAAUCGGAUUUACUGGGCGUAAAGCGUGCGUAGGCGGCUAAUUGAGUCGGAUGUGAAAUCCCCGAGCUUAACUUGGGAAUUGCAUUCGAUACUGGUUAGCUAGAGUGUGGGAGAGGAUGGUAGAAUUCCAGGUGUAGCGGUGAAAUGCGUAGAGAUCUGGAGGAAUACCGAUGGCGAAGGCAGCCAUCUGGCCUAACACUGACGCUGAGGUACGAAAGCAUGGGGAGCAAACAGGAUUAGAUACCCCAGUAGUCCCUGUCUCUUAUAC
This 301-nucleotide ribosomal RNA is filed under the name uncultured bacterium. RNAcentral's name for it is "partial 16S ribosomal RNA". It matches the Rfam family "Bacterial small subunit ribosomal RNA", at positions 509 to 807 of the family's 1533-position model. The record is from RNAcentral.